Molecule: ribosomal RNA, 339 nt
Filed under: Triticum aestivum (bread wheat)
Lineage: Eukaryota; Viridiplantae; Streptophyta; Magnoliopsida; Poales; Poaceae
Description: partial small subunit ribosomal RNA
Source: RNAcentral
AUGGACUUUGACCUGCUGAUGAGCUCCAGCCCGGAGGCGCAGCUCGCGCUGAUGAACACCAUGCUUCAGCUGGAGCAGGCGCUCAACGACCAGUCGAUGAUGAUGGGGGAGACGUCGCCGCCGAUAUCGCCCGUGCAGACCCCCUCGACGAGGCCAUCCACUACGUCAAGUUCCUCAAGUCCCAGGUGCAGUCGCUCGAGCUCGCCGCCGCCGCCACCGGCGCGGCCGCCCACCGUGCCGCUGCCUUCGCCUACCCCGCCCUUCAGCACGCGCCGUGGUAGCCCAUCCUCAUCAGCACGGCUCGUCGACGCUUCAGCUACCAUGAUAGUGAUUCAAUAA